This 490-nucleotide ribosomal RNA is filed under the name uncultured bacterium. Its description in RNAcentral is "partial 16S ribosomal RNA". It matches the Rfam family "Bacterial small subunit ribosomal RNA", at positions 29 to 507 of the family's 1533-position model. The record is from RNAcentral.
AGUGAACGCUGGCGGUAGGCCUAACACAUGCAAGUCGAACGGCAGCACAGGAGAGCUUGCUCUCUGGGUGGCGAGUGGCGGACGGGUGAGGAAUACAUCGGAAUCUGCCCAGUCGUGGGGGAUAACGUAGGGAAACUUACGCUAAUACCGCAUACGACCUUCGGGUGAAAGAGGGGGAUCGCAAGACCUCUCGCGAUUGGAUGAGCCGAUGUCGGAUUAGCUAGUUGGCGGGGUAAUGGCCCACCAAGGCGACGAUCCGUAGCUGGUCUGAGAGGAUGAUCAGCCACACUGGAACUGAGACACGGUCCAGACUCCUACGGGAGGCAGCAGCGGGGAAUAUUGGACAAUGGGCGCAAGCCUGAUCCAGCCAUACCGCGUGGGUGAAGAAGGCCUUCGGGUUGUAAAGCCCUUUUGUUGGGAAAGAAAUCUUUCAGGCUAAUACCCUGGGAGGAUGACGGUACCCAAAGAAUAAGCACCGGCUAACUUCGUG